CACCUGAUUACCCUAUUAAAACAUACUGUCAUGAUCAUUUCUUAGUGCAAUUUAAAAAGUUGUGUAUGAGUAGACAAGUUUCACAUCUAUCUUAAUUGAACUUAAAACUAUGGAUGUCAUUCUAUUUGAAUGCCAAAUGUAGGUCCUAUGGUUGACAAAUGUAGUACCUAAGGUUGACAAAGAAACUACCUAAUGUUCACAAAGGAAGUACUUAAGGUUUACA
Molecule: long non-coding RNA, 223 nt
Filed under: Vitis vinifera (wine grape)
Lineage: Eukaryota; Viridiplantae; Streptophyta; Magnoliopsida; Vitales; Vitaceae
Description: long non-coding RNA (VVIN_LNC006808)
Source: RNAcentral